Molecule: ribosomal RNA, 513 nt
Filed under: uncultured bacterium
Lineage: Bacteria
Description: bacterial SSU rRNA
Rfam family: Bacterial small subunit ribosomal RNA
Source: RNAcentral
GAUUAUGGCUCAGGAUGAACGCUAGCUACAGGCUUAACACAUGCAAGUCGAGGGGCAGCAUGAGAUUAGCUUGCUAAUCUUGAUGGCGACCGGCGCACGGGUGAGUAACGCGUAUCCAACCUUCCCCCUACUCAGGCAUAGCCCGGUGAAAACCGGAUUAACUCCUGAUAGUUUCACUAGAUGGCAUCUGACGGUGAAUAAAGCUCAGCGGUAAGGGAUGGGGAUGCGUCUGAUUAGCUUGUUGGCGGGGUAACGGCCCACCAAGGCGACGAUCAGUAGGGGUUCUGAGAGGAAGGUCCCCCACAUUGGAACUGAGACACGGACCAAACUCCUACGGGAGGCAGCAGUGAGGAAUAUUGGUCAAUGGGCGGAAGCCUGAACCAGCCAAGUAGCGUGCAGGACGACUGCCCUAUGGGUUGUAAACUGCUUUUAUAGGGGAAUAAAGUGAGGUAUGCAUACCUUUUUGUAUGUACCCUAUGAAUAAGGACCGGCUAAUUCCGUGCCAGCCGCCGC